Molecule: ribosomal RNA, 301 nt
Filed under: uncultured bacterium
Lineage: Bacteria
Description: partial 16S ribosomal RNA
Rfam family: Bacterial small subunit ribosomal RNA
Source: RNAcentral
CAGUCGCCGCGGGAAUACGGAGGGGGCUAGCGUUGUUCGGAAUUACUGGGCGUAAAGCGCACGUAGGCUGCUUUGUAAGUCAGAGGUGAAAGCCCGGGGCUCAACCCCGGAUGUGCCUUUGAGACUGCAGAGCUUGAAUCGCGGAGAGGUGAGUGGAAUUCCGAGUGUAGAGGUGAAAUUCGUAGAUAUUCGGAAGAACACCAGUGGCGAAGGCGGCUCACUGGACGCGUAUUGACGCUGAGGUGCGAAAGCGUGGGGAGCAAACAGGAUUAGAUACCCGCGUAGUCCCUGUCUCUUAUAC